ACCCGCCAUGCUAAUUAGGUAUAAGCGUUCGACUCAUAAUCGAAGGAUAGGGGGUUCGAAUCCCUCGGCGGGUACCA
RNAcentral lists this transfer RNA (77 nucleotides) under bacterium. Its description in RNAcentral is "tRNA-Met". It matches the Rfam family "tRNA". From Rfam's summary of the family: Transfer RNA (tRNA) molecules are approximately 80 nucleotides in length. Their secondary structure includes four short double-helical elements and three loops (D, anti-codon, and T loops). The record is from RNAcentral.